ACACAAUGAGGUAGUCACACGAGGCAAAAGCAUGUUGGGGGUGGGGGGAGCGGACAUUGGAACACACACACGCACACACACACACACACACACAUGCUCGCACACACAACCAGCCAGACAAUCGGGCCAGUGUGUCUGGGGCCUCGGAGCCCAGUGAAUUAGGAGUUUGAUAAGGGUUUUCUCUUUCUCUCGCUUGCCGGCCUUGGACAAUCUCCCCCCAGUUUUCCUCGACGCCACCCCCAGCGCUGCCAACCCUCCUCCCCCCGCCUCCCUUCUCUUCCCUGUGCCCAGACUCUUGUUCGGGGCCUUGAAACAGUGAGCUGUCUUUGUUCGAAAUACAGGUGAACGGCAAUCAUGUGAUUAACACACACACACAUAAAAAGCUUUUUAACAGCGCCCGCCCGGCCUCAGAACCGCCCAGAGAGGAGCCGCCCUGGAUGGACAGAGGGACGGAGGGACGCUCAUCCAGCCGGUCGCGUCCAGCUGCCCGCAGCAGUCUCCGACACUCGCUGCUGGCUGCCCGCUGCCCGCCUGCCCGGCAUCUCUCGAUCCCGCCACCGCGAGUCAUCUGCUGGGAACACGGGUGUGCAAAUAUCCCUUCGAGUCCCUGCUUCCCAUUCCCGAUGCCUUCUAGAGAGAGAGAGAGAGAGAGAGCGUUUGGACAAGUUUUUCCCAUGGUUUGGGAAUCACGGGUUUGUGGAUUACCGCGUGCCAUGAGGACCGUCAUCGACGCGUACAGACUUCUCUGGGGACCAGAGCUAACGUUUACCGAGGAUCUCUGGAGGGGCUGAGACAAUGGCUUUGGCUCUUUUCACUCCUCAUGACCGUCUUCCUGAGUGGAUGUCAUCACCCCGUUGUACAGAUGCACAAACGGAGCCUGGGUUGCUGAGGGUCUCACAGGAGCUGAGGGUCCGGGGGCCCCGACUCUGCACCCUCCUUUUGGGACUUUUCACGGCAGCGCAGUGGUUUUUGUGUGGGUGUCAUAAGCUCGCUAGGUCAAGUUGGCAAGACCCCCCGCCCCCCCCCCCCCCCCCCCCCCCCCCCCGGGGUCAGGACCACGCUUCCUCCUUCUCCUGCGUCUCCCACUCGGGCUGGAACUCGGACGAUGCUCAACGAAUGCUCUUAAAUCAGCGCCUCUGAGUUCUGAUGUCAGAGGAGUGGUCUCAGGACCCCCCCCCCCCCACCGCUGUGUCCUUGUGCUGUUCUGCUGCCUAGAGGCACCCUCUCACUCUCAGACGUGCCCUUCGGGGCCCAACCUGGGGGCCCUUCUCAGGACCGCCCCGCACACCCUGUCCUCCAUGCUUGUGGCUCUCUGUUGGAGCUCACCUCUCCGUGGGACGGUCAUGAUAGGCAAAACUGCACCAAUGGAAGGGACUUCCCGAGGAGGAAAUAUGCUCCCUGUCAGCAAAAGGAGGCAAGUGGAGGCUGGGUGGCUCUGGAACCCGAAGCAAUCAGCCCUAGGACCCGAAGCCAGAAGAUGUAAAGAUUCAGGGGAGUCCUCCCCAGGGUUGGGGUGGGCCAGGCCCUGGAACUUGGAGUAGGCAUGGGUCACCCGUCUGACCAGACCCGGGCAACAGAAGCCAUGGCUCCAGUCCCUGGGUCCAAAGGCUUCUGGGACUUGGCCAAGCAGCCAUAUUGGGCCUCUGGACCUAUGAACCACAGACUAGGCCUGGGAGACAGGAAAUGGCCCUGCUCAGGGCCCAAAAACCCCCUUAGCAUACCCUCACUCCCUCCCCGCCUCCCACAGUGGCCUCAGGCCCCUGCGCCCCGCGCCCAUGGGGUUAAAUCUCUCCCUGUCUCUCUCUGCUCCAAGUUGUUUUCCAAGUGAAGCAGAGAAUGGUUCUCUUGUUACCAACAUGGCUUCUGGGCAUUGGGUAAUGCGCUCCCUCUUCUCCCUGCUCCGCUCCACAAAGGGACCUUUUGUUCCUCUCCCUGCCCCUCUCUCUGGCUCUUCCCCGGCCCCCCACCCACCCCAACUCCCUCCUCCCCGCCUCCCGCCCCACACUGCACCCCUGGGCUGUGAGGAGUGACCAUGGUCUGGCUGUGGUGCCCUCCCUCUCUCAAGGCGCCCAGGGAGGAGAAGGGGCCUUGUGGCCGCGGCGGCCAUUUUGAGAGCGGCCAUUCCAGGCGGUCCCGGGCUUCCGUGAGGCUUGCGGGGUUGGGGAGGCCACAGUGGGGUGGCUGGGGCUCAGCAGGAGGUCUUGUGGUGCACCUCCUGUCCUCCAGGGAGUGGGGGGAGGGACCCUCCCACCCACCACCCUGACCCGGGCCGCCUCCUUGCACUGAGACAAGACACCUUCCCAUCCACCAUCUCGCUUGACCCGCACAGCAGCCCAAGGGGCGGGAGUGACACCCCGUCUUCCACAGGUGGAGACUGAGGCUCAGCGGGGUAAGUGUCCUUCCCCACCAGGGGCUCAGUGAGCAGAUGCUGCAGCUAGACGGAGCUGCGUGCUCCUCCCCUGAAACCUCUCCAGGAAAGAGCCCUCAGAAUGUGCCCUGACCCAUGGGAUACGCCGAGAUGGAUCUGGGCCACCAGAGGAAGCCUAAAACCAAAUAUACUGGAGUUUUUUUGCAAACGGAACAGAUUGUGCCCGAGAUGGGAGUGUCAGGAAGCCGGUCAGAUACUGAAGUGUCUGCUCUCAAGGGAAGACGGUCUCUGUCCACUGUCCCCUCCCUUGCCUCCUCACAACAGGCCUGCAAGGCAGGCAGGGACAGGCUGACGACAACAUUUUUCAGAUGAGGAAACAGGCCCAGAGAGGAUCCGGGGCCAGGACUCGGCGCUCACCCGGUUAGAUUCCAGCUCUGGUUGUUGUCUCUUUCCGGGGCCGCUCCCCACCCCUCGAGAGGCCCAGGGACUCGGGGAGGGGACUUAGGUGGGUCACAGCAGUCCCAGCCACCCCCUCUGCAACCACAGGAGCCAGAGCCCUGAGGAUGUUGUAUUCGGGUGCCUCAAACAUCCAUCGAUUCCCCUAUCACACUCCGUCCCUGUGUCUACAGAGAUGUGAAACAGAGCACCCGCGUGUACCCGUGAUGUAUAUUCCCCUGUGACCACUGAGCUGGGUCUGGGGCCUUCGGGCCACUGCGAGAAGUAAAAUGGGUAGAUUGGGGAUGGGUGGAUGGGCAGCUGGGGGGAACAGAGAGGGCACGAAGAUUUAUCCAGAGCUGAAUACACCCCCCUGGGCCUGCCCUCAAGGAGCCACAGUCCAGGAGGAGAGCUACAGCCGUAGAGAGCCAGUGGGCUGUCAGAGAGGGGGCCUGGGAGCUCACCACUGGCUGGGAGGUUGAGGCAGGAAGGCUUCUUGGAGCAGGGGACCAAGGACAGAGCCUGAAAAGACGAGGAUAAGUUAACCAGGCAACGAAAUUGAGACGGAAGGUAGGAAAGGAGCUGGCAGAGGGGGUGGGGCUGGGGCUGAGAAGAAGGUGAAUGGUGUGCGAUGGGGUAAAGAGGCCACCCGUGUGCCAGAGCAGAGUGGGGACAGGGAAGGUGGGAGAGGUGGGUAGGGGGAGGAACCACGUGGGCUGCCGAGGGUAGUCAGGGGGGCUCCUGCUGUGGAUGUCCCGAUAAGGUACACGGACGAGGUCUCGAGGGAUAGUGGGGUGGUCGCUGAAGGAUUUUAAAGGGGUCAGGGCUGGGUCUGUGCCAGUCUGGUUUAUUACUGUUUUCCCAGCGCCCGGCUCAGUGCCCGGCAUACAGCAGGCGCUCAAUAAAUGUUUUGGAUCAAUGCAUGAAUGCCGCCGGUGUACCCUGAGGUAGUGGUUAACUCCAGUCGCGGGGUCUCGGGCCUCAGCUCCCUCGUUUGUAAAACGAGGGUAACAGCCCCUGUCUCUGGAGGUGCCGAAAUGGUUGAGGGAUCGAGCUCGUGGCAGGACUUUGCUCAGUGUCCUGCAUGGGGUCACGCUCCACGACUGGGGCCUUUACGACACAUGUGCAGACGUGCUGUGGGCAAGACAGGGGCAAGGACCGGGUUAGAAGCGGCCGAGUUGUCCAGGUGCGAGAGGAUGCGCCAAUGGCCACGUCCACCAAGGGCUUACGCUGUCCAUACAUUUUCUCAUAAUCCCGAAAACAGGCUAACGGAGAAGGCAUUAUGGUCACCCCUGUCUUGUCGUCCAGGACACCGAGGUGCAGCGAGGCGACGUGAUCCGCCCGAGACCCUGAGGCUGGCGAGCCGUGGACGGAAGCCAGACGCCAGCGCCCGGCCUGUGACCACUGAGCUGGUGACGGAGACUGGUUAGGGUCGUGCUGGACUUGGAAAUCCCGUGAGUAACCUGAACUGCAGAGCAGUGGGAACACGGGGAGGUCGCCCCGUGUGGCAUUCUGCACAUUUGCUGAGGCUCAGAUUAUCUUCCUAAGGAGGGGGUGGCGUGGGGAUCCCAUCGGAUGGUGGGAUAUUCGGAUAAUCAUCCUUCUGUGUCUCUCCUUCCUCCGCUGCCCCUGGGAGGAAGCUGUGACCCUCCGUGGGGCCCCAGCGGGGCUGCUCCCCAGGACUAAAGAGGGAGGUGAGGUGUGAGGGGCC
Leopardus geoffroyi (Geoffroy's cat) is the source of this 4514-nucleotide long non-coding RNA. RefSeq lists it as uncharacterized. Lineage: Eukaryota; Metazoa; Chordata; Mammalia; Carnivora; Felidae. The transcript is spliced from 5 exons. The record is from RefSeq and is a predicted model, not a curated record.